GUAGGUGGCAAGCGUUGUCCGGAAUUAUUGGGCGUAAAGCGCGCGCAGGCGGUUCUUUAAGUCUGAUGCGAAAGCCCACAGCUCAACCGUGGAGGGUCAUUGGAAACUGGAGAACUUGAGUACAGAAGAGGAAAGCGGAAUUCCACGUGUAGCGGUGAAAUGCGUAGAGAUGUGGAGGAACACCAGUGGCGAAGGCGGCUUUCUGGUCUGUAACUGACGCUGAGGCGCGAAAGCGUGGGGGAGCAAACAGGAUUAGAUACCCUGGUAGUCCACGCCGUAAACGAUGAGUGCUAAGUGUUAGGGGGUUUCCGCCCCUUAGUGCUGCAGCUAACGCAUUAAGCACUCCGCCUGGGAGUACGGCCGCAAGGCUG
This 371-nucleotide ribosomal RNA is filed under the name uncultured organism. RNAcentral describes it as "partial 16S ribosomal RNA". It matches the Rfam family "Bacterial small subunit ribosomal RNA", at positions 527 to 896 of the family's 1533-position model. The record is from RNAcentral.